This 352-nucleotide ribosomal RNA is filed under the name uncultured bacterium. RNAcentral's name for it is "bacterial SSU rRNA". It matches the Rfam family "Bacterial small subunit ribosomal RNA", at positions 8 to 350 of the family's 1533-position model. The record is from RNAcentral.
AGAGUUUGAUCAUGGCUCAGGAUGAACGCUAGCUACAGGCUUAACACAUGCAAGUCGAGGGGCAGCAUGUUGGUUGCUUGCAACCAACGAUGGCGACCGGCGCACGGGUGAGUAACGCGUAUCCAACCUACCCUUGUCCAUCGGAUAACCCGUCGAAAGGCGGCCUAACACGAUAUGCGGUUCACGGCAGGCAUCUAAGGUGAACGAAAUGUGAAGGAGAAGGAUGGGGAUGCGUCUGAUUAGCUUGUUGGCGGGGUAACGGCCACCAAGGCUACGAUCGAGUAGGGGUUCUGGAGACGGAAGGUCCCCCACAUUGGAACUGAGACACGGUCCAAACGUCCUACGGGAGGCA